CUAACCGAAGAACCUUACCCAGGCUUGACAUUGAGUGUAAGGCCGUGAAAGCGGUCCCCUCCGCAAGGAGCACGAAACAGGUGUUGCAUGGCUGUCGUCAGCUCGUGUCGUGAGAUGUUGGGUUAAGUCCCGCAACGAGCGCAACCCUCACCGUAUGUUGCCAGCGUGAAGUCGGGAACUCUUACGGAACUGCCCGUGCAAGCGGGAGGAAGGUGGGGACGACGUCAAGUCGGCAUGGCCCUUACGCCUGGGGCUUCACACAUGCUACAAUGGGCGGCACAGAGGGCAGCUAACCCGCGAGGGGGCGCGAAUCCCAAAAAGCCGUCCUCAGUUCGGAUUGCAGGCUGCAACUCGCCUGCAUGAAGCCGGAAUCGCUAGUAACCGCCGGUCAGCCAAACGGCGGUGAAUACGUUCCCGGGCCUUGUACACACCGCCCGUCAAGUCACCUGAAUUGUCUGCACCCGAAGCCGGUGGCCCAACCUCAGUUCGCUGGGGAGGGAGCCGUCUAAGGUGUGGGGAGUAAGGGGGACUAAGUCGUAACAAGGUAAGCGUAGAUGA
Molecule: ribosomal RNA, 558 nt
Filed under: uncultured bacterium
Lineage: Bacteria
Description: bacterial SSU rRNA
Rfam family: Bacterial small subunit ribosomal RNA
Source: RNAcentral